This 286-nucleotide ribosomal RNA is filed under the name uncultured euryarchaeote. RNAcentral's name for it is "partial 16S ribosomal RNA". It matches the Rfam family "Archaeal small subunit ribosomal RNA", at positions 532 to 817 of the family's 1478-position model. Lineage: Archaea; Methanobacteriati; Methanobacteriota. The record is from RNAcentral.
GGAAAGUCUCUGGUGAAAUCCUGCAGCUUAACUGUAGGGCUUGCCGGAGAAACUCUCNGACUAGAGGAUGGGAGAGGUCGGAGGUACUUCUGGGGUAAGGGUGAAAUCCUAUAAUCCUAGAAGGACCAACAGUGGCGAAGGCGUCCGACAUGAACAUGCCUGACAGUGAGGGACNAGAGCCAGGGUCGCGAAAGGGAUUAGAUACCCGUGUAGUCCUGGCCGUAAACGAUGUUGACUAGGUGGGGCGCGUACUUCGAGUACAUGCUAUGCCGAAGGGAAACCGUUA